ACUCCUACGGGAGGCAGCAGUGGGGAAUAUUGCGCAAUGGGGGAAACCCUGACGCAGCGACGCCGCGUGAGCGAAGAAGGCCUUAGGGUUGUAAAGCUCUGUUUUAAGGGACGAAUGUCGUGGGGAGUAAUAUGCUCUGCGAAUGACGGUACCUUAAGAGGAAGCCCCGGCUAACUACGUGCCAGCAGCCGCGGUAAGACGUAGGGGGCGAGCGUUGUCCGGAAUUACUGGGCGUAAAGAGCACGUAGGCGGGAACUUAAGUCAGGUGUGAAAGACCGGGGCUCAACUCCGGGGUUGCACUUGAAACUGGGUUUCUUGAGGGCAGGAGAGGAAAGCAGAAUUCCUGGUGUAGCGGUGAAAUGCGUAGAAAUCAGGAGGAAUACCAGUGGCGAAGGCGGCUUUCUGGACUGACCCUGACGCUGAGGUGCGAAAGCGUGGGUAGCAAACAGGAUUAGAUACCCUGGUAGUCCACGCCGUAAACGAUGGAUACUAGGUGUGGGAGGUAUCGACCCCUUCCGUGCCGUAGCUAACGCAAUAAGUAUCCCGCCUGGGGAGUACGGUCGCAAGGCUGAAACUCAAAUGAAUUGACGG
Molecule: ribosomal RNA, 591 nt
Filed under: uncultured bacterium
Lineage: Bacteria
Description: bacterial SSU rRNA
Rfam family: Bacterial small subunit ribosomal RNA
Source: RNAcentral